Molecule: ribosomal RNA, 163 nt
Filed under: Dendrobium aduncum
Lineage: Eukaryota; Viridiplantae; Streptophyta; Magnoliopsida; Asparagales; Orchidaceae
Description: 5.8S ribosomal RNA
Rfam family: 5.8S ribosomal RNA
About the family: 5.8S ribosomal RNA (5.8S rRNA) is a component of the large subunit of the eukaryotic ribosome.
Source: RNAcentral
ACACGACUCUCGGCAAUGGAUAUCUCGGCUCUCGCAUCGAUGAAGAGCGCAGUGAAAUGCGAUAUGUGGUGCGAAUUGCAGAAUCCCGCGAACCAUCGAGUCUUUGAACGCAAGUUGCGCCCGAGGCCAACCGGCUAAGGGCACGUCCGCCUGGGCGUCAAGC